AUUGAACGCUGGCGGCAUGCCUUACACAUGCAAGUCGAACGGCAGCACGGGAGCAAUCCUGGGGGCGAGUGGCGAACGGGUGAGUAAUAUAUCGGAACGUGCCCAGUCGUGGGGGAUAACGCAGCGAAAGCUGUGCUAAUACCGCAUACGAUCUAUGGAUGAAAGCGGGGGAUCGCAAGACCUUGCGCGAUUGGAGCGGCCGAUAUCAGAUUAGCUAGUUGGUGGGGUAAAGGCCCACCAAGGCGACGAUCUGUAGCUGGUCUGAGAGGACGACCAGCCACACUGGAACUGAGACACGGUCCAGACUCCUACGGGAGGCAGCAGUGGGGAAUUUUGGACAAUGGGCGCAAGCCUGAUCCAGCAAUGCCGCGUGCAGGAUGAAGGCCUUCGGGUUGUAAACUGCUUUUGUACGGAGCGAAACGGUCUGCCCUAAUACGGUGGGCUAAUGACGGUACCGUAAGAAUAAGCACCGGCUAACUACGUGCCAGCCGCCGCAGUAA
RNAcentral lists this ribosomal RNA (500 nucleotides) under uncultured bacterium. RNAcentral describes it as "partial 16S ribosomal RNA". It matches the Rfam family "Bacterial small subunit ribosomal RNA", at positions 30 to 523 of the family's 1533-position model. The record is from RNAcentral.